AAUACAAUUCCAGUGCGGGUGCCCGCUCCUGAGAACCCGCCUCGUCUGCGUAACACCCGCGGUCCCUCGCCAGUUCCGACAGGCUGUUUUCCCUGAGGUCUGGUCGGGCCCGCCGUGCCCGUUAACGGCUUUCUGUCAGUCUUUGUGCGAGCCCGCCGGCCGCAGAGGCCGGGAGGGACGGGCCAGCGGUGCACGACACUGCAGCGAACAAAAUGAGUUUGUCAAGGAAUUCCUAGAAUUGUGAGGGAUUACUCAAAAGGGUGAGGCAGGAAAAGACCAUCUAGUUUACUGAACAUCAGAAUCUGCAAGAUACAGAUAUUUAGCUUCAAGUGGGGGUGGCAUGGAGGGCCAGGGUAACCGCUGUGUACCAGGGUUGAUCCACUUUUUUCAGAAAGAUUUUUUAAGAAGCCAGCCUAAAUCAGCUUUCAUGUAUGACAAUUUUCUCAUCCUUCUGCAGAUGAGUAGAACAAUUGGUCAUAAUCUUGUAGUAGGUUGGAUGCAUGGAUCAGUGGAUGUGUGUGUAUAUGUGUGUGUGUGUGGGGGGGGGGUUACUGUAAGCCUACGUUUGCUAUUUGGACUAUCGAUAUUUUAGACCUCUCAGAGAAAAUGCCGAAUACCAAAAGGUUUUGUGUGACUUAGGGCACUAGUUCUGUAACUGUGUUUGUAGCUACUGAAUGACACUGAUGGUUUUCACAUAUGUGAGUUCAAAGAGAUUAUCCUGGAGAAAAGGCAGAUUCUUUUCCAUGUGAUUUGGUAAGAAUUUUCUCUCCUCUGUUUACAGUUUUGGGUUUAACUAGACAGUAUCAUAAUAAUCCACACGGCUGCAUGAGCAGUUGGAUUUAUGUUUAUGUCCUUGGAUACUUUUAUAUGGCUCAAAAAGUAUCAGGCUCAUCACAAAACUAGUGAAAUUUGUGGAUCAUACACAGCAAGUUUACAGCUAUUUCAAACAUCGUAUUGCCAAGAGCUGUGAACACAAAGAAAAGGAAGGAACCAAAAACAGACUUGCAAUAAUAUUACAUGACUACUCAGUUAAGCUGUGUGUGUCAAGACAGUUGUGUGCAGGCUCACAUCCUAUUCCAGCAGGGCUUACUUGGGCACAUGUGAUACUCUGAUUCAGCUUCCCUGGACCUUGGAUCAUCUGUACAGACUAUGAAAUCAAAUGAGAUGAAAACAACAUUCUUUGUACCUGCUCUUUGAAACACUGUCGUCUGGCUCCACUCACUCCAUUGACUGUGAUGCAAGAAGAGGGCCUGAAUGAUGACGCAGGGUUCCUAAGAAGAAGAGCUAUUGAACUUCAGUAUUGAUGUUUAAUGUAAAAUCUCUCAGCCUUAAUAUGGAAAACCAGAAAGGCAGUCUUAAGUCAGCUGGUGGAGCUCAGUGGCAAGGCCAUUGUACCCAAAGAAAAAGCUCAUUCACAUGAUCUUGUAUGCUCACCUGAAUCUUAGAGGAAGUCAGAAGCUUCAGGCUCUGGACUCUUUCAAAAUGUGUUUUGCUCCUUCUUGCUCCCAGAGCAAGAUUCUGAUUUUGACAAGACACUUGACAAGGUCUAGCAAUGCAUGUUUGCAGCCCAGAAAGCCCAUUGUAUCCUGGGCUGCAUCAAAAGCAGCAUGACCAGCAGGUUAAGGGAGAGGAUUCUACCUCUCUACUCUGAUCUUCUGAAACCCCUACUUGCAGUACUGUGUCCAGUUCUGGGGUCCUCAACCUAAGAAGGACAUGGAGUUGCUAGAGCAAGUCUGGAGGAGGCCACAGAGACGAUCAGAGAACUGCAGUCCCUCUGCUAUGGAGAGAGGAUAGGAGAGCUGGACUUGCUCUGCUUGGAGAAGAGAAGGCUCCAGGGAGAACUUAGAGUCCUUUCCAGUACAUAA
This is a long non-coding RNA of Vidua chalybeata, 1865 nucleotides long. RefSeq lists it as uncharacterized. Lineage: Eukaryota; Metazoa; Chordata; Aves; Passeriformes; Viduidae. The record is from RefSeq and is a predicted model, not a curated record. The transcript has 4 exons.